CAGUAGCCACGGGAAUACAGAGGGUGCGAGCGUUAAUCGGAUUUACUGGGCGUAAAGCGUGCGUAGGCGGCUUUUUAAGUCGGAUGUGAAAUCCCUGAGCUUAACUUAGGAAUUGCAUUCGAUACUGGGAAGCUAGAGUAUGGGAGAGGAUGGUAGAAUUCCAGGUGUAGCGGUGAAAUGCGUAGAGAUCUGGAGGAAUAACGAUGGCGAAGGCAGCCAUCUGGCCUAAUACUGACGCUGAGGUACGAAAGCAUGGGGAGCAAACAGGAUUAGAUACCCGUGUAGUCCCUGUCUCUUAUAA
RNAcentral lists this ribosomal RNA (301 nucleotides) under uncultured bacterium. RNAcentral describes it as "partial 16S ribosomal RNA". It matches the Rfam family "Bacterial small subunit ribosomal RNA", at positions 509 to 809 of the family's 1533-position model. The record is from RNAcentral.